Molecule: ribosomal RNA, 407 nt
Filed under: uncultured bacterium
Lineage: Bacteria
Description: partial 16S ribosomal RNA
Rfam family: Bacterial small subunit ribosomal RNA
Source: RNAcentral
AUUGAACGCUGGCGGCAGGCCUAACACAUGCCAGUCGAGCGGAGCAGCGGACGGGUGAGUAAUGCCUAGGAAUCUGCCUGGUAGUGGGGGAUAACGUCCGGAAACGGGCGCUAAUACCGCAUACUAUCAGAUGAGACUAGGGCGGAUUAGCUAGUUGGUGGGGUAAAGGCCUACCAAGGCGGCGAUCCGUAACUGGUCUGAGAGGAUGAUCAGUCACCCUGUAACUGAGACACGGUCCAGACUCCUACGGGAGGCAGCAGUGGGGAAUAUUUGACAAUUGGCGAAAGCCUGAUCCAGCCAUGCCGCGUGUAUGAAGAAGGUCUUCGGAUUGUAAAGCACGUGCAGCGGGGAGGCGUUACCCGCAGAAGAAGCACCGGCUAACUCCGUGCCAGCCGCCGCGGUAAUUC